Molecule: ribosomal RNA, 204 nt
Filed under: uncultured fungus
Lineage: Eukaryota; Fungi
Description: partial 26S ribosomal RNA
Rfam family: Eukaryotic large subunit ribosomal RNA
Source: RNAcentral
UUGCAUAUCAAUAAGCGGAGGAAAAGAAACUAACAAGGAUUCCCUCAGUAACGGCGAGUGAAGCGGGAAGAGCUCAGACUGAAAAUCUUCGGAAUUGUAGUCUGUCGAAGUGAAGUCCGUUUUAUAAGAAUAAAGUAAAAUCUUUAAGAAAACUGUACCAUGGAGGGUGAUAGUCCUGUUUAUACUUUAUUUCUAUAAGACAUU